UUACGGCCACAUCGCGUUGGAAAAUCGGUUCCCGUACGAUUACCUCAGUUAAGCAACGUUAAGCCUGAUCAGUACCAAGAUGGAUGAUCCCUUGGGCAUACCAGGUGCUGCAAG
Non-coding RNA from Acanthosepion pharaonis, 114 nucleotides. Lineage: Eukaryota; Metazoa; Mollusca; Cephalopoda; Sepiida; Sepiidae. The record is from the annotation of a GenBank genome assembly.